RNAcentral lists this long non-coding RNA (15542 nucleotides) under Solanum lycopersicum (tomato). RNAcentral's name for it is "long non-coding RNA (SLYC_LNC001048)". Lineage: Eukaryota; Viridiplantae; Streptophyta; Magnoliopsida; Solanales; Solanaceae. The record is from RNAcentral.
GCGUCGGGUUUAAAAAUUGGAGCUAGACCUCAUAAUUCCUUUGACUUUCCCACUAACGAUAGGUUAGGAUGUAGUACAUAUAAUUUACUUUCAAAAUAAACAAUGUCAAAAUCAAUCAAAAGUUUAAAAGAAAGAUUGAAUAAUGACUUUUUAAGAAAAUUAUGUUACAAGGUUUUGAUAUGAAAUAUUUUUAAAGCCAAGUUAAAUGCAUGAAAUGAUUCUAAAAAAAUAUUGCAUCAUGAAUGCGGAAAACAAAUGGGAUUACUAGUUAAAUAAUAUUAACUAAUUUUAGGGGAGGGCUCAAAUAUGCACAAACAAAUUUUAUUUUUUAUGGACAUGCUGAGAGUUUAUUUACAACCCUAUAGACAUGAUUUCUAGGUGUUAAAAAAACAGAGUAACAUAUAUAUGCAUGAUUUUGUAAAUGAUGUGAACAAUUUAAUACUUAGGCAUAGUUCUACGUGAUAAGACAAAUGAAAAUUUAUAACAUAUUUUAACAUCUAACAACCUAUUAUAUUAUUAGGACUUGAUUUUAAUAUUUAAAAAAAAUUAAUGGAAUCUAGUUAUUAUUUUUUUAGAGUUAUUAACGAAAGCGUCAAGCAAAUUGAAAAUUGAUUAGAUUAUAACACCUACAAAUAUUAAAUCUAGGCGAUUAAAGACAAACCUAUAGGCAUGAUUUCUAAAAAUUUAUAAUGAACAACUAGGCAUAUAAAUCCCCCUCCCUUAGACGACCCCCCAAAUAAAUUUAUAUAUAUGAUCUUUUAGGGUUACAAUUGUUAAAACAUUUGAAUAAACAAAAAUAGACAAAAAAAAAUGAAAUAUAUAUAUAUAUAUAUAUAUAUAUAUAUAUAUACACACACACACACAUUCAAAUAAACAAAUAAAUCUUUCUUCAAUCAAUCUUCAACUUGAACUUCAAGUUUGAAACCUAUCAAAGUAAUCAAAUAACUACACAAGUAAUCACACUUAUUAGUCGAGAUGAGACGAUAUGCAAUUAUUUAAUGAAGAAUUCUACAUAAAAAAAAAAACAAUAGCUUACACAAAUAUGUGAAUGUGAAGAUAAUGUAGAUGUUAGGAAUACUAACCAGUUAAGCAAAACAAAUUGAUUCACCUUUUACUCGAACGAUGUAGCAAAAUAGCGAAGAACACUUGAAUAUUUAUCGGAAUAUUAAUGUGUUUUUAAAGUAGCAAGAGAGCAAUAAGAGAAGAGAGAGUGAUGAGAGAAAUUUUUUUUGAUUGAGAGUGAAUGGGGUCGACCGGUGGCUUGCUGCUUCGACGUCUUUGUCGUAUGCCGAUGGAGAGAAGAGAGACGAGAAACAACGGCUAGAGAGAGAGGAGGGGAAGAGGAGAGAAAGAGGGAGAAGGGGGACGACGGGAGACGGGAGAAAGACGGAGGGGAGGAGCGACGGGAAAAGGGGAGAGGGGCAGCUGCCGGAGAAGCCAUCACUGCUAGGAGAAAAGAGAAGAAGAGGGGAUGGGACGAGGGAGAAGAAGGGGCGUUGCCGCCUUUGGUGGCUUUAACCGGAAGAUGGCGAGGAGAGAGGGGGCCGGCGCUGGAGAGAGAGAGAAGGGAGAGCGCGGCUGGAGAGAGGAAAAAAGGGGAAGAAUGGGAACAAAUUUUAGGUUUUGUUAUUUGAUAGAUUAAAAGGAGGAUUUGAUCUCAACCGUUGAUCUAAUUUGAAAUGAAGGGCAAAGAUUAGGUCUAGGAAUUAUUUGAGAUGGAUGGAUGAGAUUAAAAGUUGAAAAAUUAAAAUCAAAUUGGUUGGAGGAUUGGAACGGCUAAAAUUGCAACUAAAAUUGGCUAGAAUUUAAAGGAUGAGGUGGCUAUGAUUGUAAUAAAAUUUUAAUUGGAGUGGCUAGAAUUGAAAGAAAUUGGAAUAGAAUAGGCUAGAAUUUAAAUAAUUUUAAGGAAAGUGUAGGAAUUACUAUUUGAUUAAAAUACUACAUAUAUUAAAAUAUUUUUAUAAUUGAAAAUCAUUUAAACUUUAAAAAUUUGGAAUUCAUUAAUAAUUUGAAAAUAUUUUAAUAAUAUUUACGAUAAUUUUAUAAAGUAAAACGUACUAAAAUAUAUAAUUUUCAAGCAAAGUCGAUUAAAAAUUCUAAAAUUAAAAAUACAUAUUUAAUCUAAUAGUAUUCCUAAAAAGGGUCAAAGGUCGGUCAAAAUAGGGUGUCAACAGCUGCUCCUUGGUUGAUUGAGAAUGAAGAAUGAAUUGUCAGGCAACCAACGUUGACUUAGUAGCCGAUUUUGUCCGACCGACUAAAGAUGUCAGUUGGAUCAAUUGAAAUGAUAUAGAGUUGAAAAAGGGUACGACCGAGACUUUGGUUUUUAAGUCGCCUACAUAUCUCUGGUUAUACGAGAAUCAGGUCGUGUGUAGUUCUAGAUUCAAAAGCAAAUGAAGCUCUUAAAAGUUGAAAGAGCGCUAAGGUGUUUGAAAGGUACUAUAUUGGCUUGAAUGGAUAAGAUUAGAGUAGCGAGAAGAGAGAGAUUGAGAGGCUAAAAAAGUAUGACAGAGAAGCGAGAAGAACAUGAUAGAGUAAGGCUAUCAGCCUUUGAGCGAGGGUUCGGAGUAUGAAAAGCGAAGAAUUGAUACGGUCAUUGUUGUCAUAGAGGAUAGCGUGAUAAUUGUAAUCAAGGGCGAUCAAUCAUAUCUGCAAAUUCUAGAUAAAAUGUUAGCUUAUGAAUAAUGUAUGACCAAUAAUGAUAAAAUAUGAGUUCUAAAUAAAUGACAAAAGAUGAUAAGAAGCGUAUCUGUUUGAGACAUAGUGCAAGCCUUGAUAGUCUUUAACUUCUUGAAGGAUUGAAACCCAUCUCUAAGGAUAAACGUCAAACUCCAAUAGAUUGGAUACUGUAAAGAUAUAAUAAUAUAGACGAAAAUAUCUAGUUAUAAGGAGAGUCUAAACGUCAUUUUAAGGCGGACGAGCCUAAGUGUCGUUUUAAGGAGGGCAGCCUAAAUAUCUUAUAAAGCGAACAAAAUAUCUUAUAAAGCGGACGAACAUAAAUGUCCUAUGAGGCGGACAAGCCUAAAUGUCCCUUUAAGGUGGACGGCCUAAAUGUCCUAUAAGAUGGACAAACCUAAAUGGCAUUUUAAGACGGACGAGACUAAAUGUCCUAUUGUAAGGCGGACGAGCCUAGAUGUCGUAUUGUAAGGCGGACGAGCCUAUAUGUCACAUUGUAAGGCGGACGAGCCUAGAUGUCGCAUUGUAAGGCGGACGAGCCUAGCUGAAGACAUAGAAAGCCACAGUGGCCAGUUGAAUCCGAAGAUAUCUUCAUGGUAGCCUGAAUGAUAGAUGAGUAGUGAAACGAUAGUGCGAGUAGCCAAGAAUUUGUCGGAGCCUUUGUUUGUAAGCGAGGAAAUAGCCGUUCAGAAAGCAUCUUUGUCUGUAAUCAACAUAACUGUAACUUGUAGUAGAGUAAUUAGAGCAGAAAAAGCGGUAAAUGUAAACAUGAUGCAAUUUCCCAUAUUAACCAUGAAUGCUUGCCUUGACCAUGCAAAAUGACGUCUUAGGCUAUGAUGUCUAGGGCCAUGAUAUGCAGGGUGUAUCCUCAGGUCAUGAAAAUGUUGUUUGUAGUCCAUGAAAAUGACGCCUUUAGACUAUGACACCUUCGGAUUAUGAUAGAUAGAAAUUAAACCCUUAGGCCAUGAUAUGAUGUCCGCAGGCCAUGAGGAUGAUGCCUUUAGACUAUGAUACCUUAGGGACAUGGUAAGCAUAAAAUAAGUCCUCAGGCCAUGACAUGAAGUCCGCAGGCCAUGAAAGAUGACGCCUUUGGAGGAUGACGCCUUUGGAAUAUAAAUAAUGAGUAAAGAGAGCGUAUCUAUUUUUGACAUCUGUUGAUACUUAUGACUUGAUUUGAUUCGGGCACAUGUAAACUUCGAGCACGAUGCAAUCAUGAGGUUAUGCAAACUUCGGGCACAAUGCAGUCUCGGGCACAAUGCGAUGAUGCAUUUCUUCGGGCACAUGCAAUAUCGAGCACAUGCAAUGAUGUAUUUCUUCGGGCACAUGCAAUAUCUAGCACAAUGCAAUGAUGCACUUCUUCGGGAAUAAUGUAAUAUCGGGCACAUGCAGUAUCGAGCAUAUGUAAUAGUGCAUUUCUUCGGGCACAUAAAAUAUCGAGCGCAUGCAAUAAUGCAAUUCCUCGAGCAUAAGUCAAUAUUGGGCACAUGCAGUAUCAAGCAUAUGUAAUGGUGCAUUUCUUCGGGCACAUAAAAUAUCGAGCGCAUGCAAUAAUGCAAUUCCUCGAGCAUAAGUCAAUAUUGGGCAUAUGCGAUGAUGUAUUUCCUCGGGCACAUGAAAUAUCGAGCACAUGCGAUGAUGAAUUUCUUCGGGCACAUAAAAUAUCGAGCGCAUGCAAUAAUGCAAUUCUUCGAGCAUAAGUCAAUAUUGGGCAUAUGCGAUGAUGUAUUUCCUCGGGCACAUGAAAUAUCGAGCACAUGCAAUGAUGCAUUUCGGCAUUCUCGGGCAUAAUAUAAUGAUGUAGUUCUAUGAGCAUAGUGUGAUAUCAGGCGUAGGUGCAAAAUGAUGCAAUAUCGGGCACAAUGUAAUUUGUCAGCACAGCAGUUGCUUGAGAGCAUACAAUAGCUUGGCGUUCGCCUUAUUGGAAUGAUCGAGUGUCAUAUGUCGGGAUCAAAUGUGGUGAUGUUGAUUGUUGCGAUUGCCUUUGUAUACGUACCUGUAUUUUCUACAUUCAAAGAAAAAUAGUUAGUUUUAAAGGGGGGAGGUUGAUCUGUAUCCAUGAUUUAGCGAUGCGUGCUCCUUUGGCUUGCCAUCCACACCUCUUCGAGCGUCUGUUUUUUUUCAUAAAAAAAGGGAAAGGAAAGAGAAAAAAUAAUAAUAAUAAAAUAAAAAAUAAAAAAUUUUGAAAGAUUUUGAAAUUAUCAUUUAAUAAAAGCUAAUGUCAAAUCUUUGACCAUGGCAUAGGUUGAAACUUUAUAACGUCUGACUCAAGAAUGGAGCUAUCAUUUAAUCUUCGUUGUAAGUUGACUGCUUGUUGAGAAGAAACUUUUGGUGAAAUUUUGAGUUUACUCAAAAUUUCUGCCCCAGUAUGAAGAUGUGCCAGGAGAAAUCUUGAUGGAAUUUUUGAGAUCCUCUCAAAAAUUAUGCCCCAGUUAACAAUAGAAAAGGGGGAAAUGAAAGUUUUAUUUAUAAUAAGAGCGAACCCCAUAGGAGCACCUACGUAUCCCCUCUUAAACGGGAAUCAGGUCUGACGUAGUUCCAAGCAUGAAUAAAUCUCUAGAUGUAAUACUUUUUCACAGAAUCUGAAUUGAUAGGUUUUGGCCAAUCUUCUCCAUCCAUUUCUGCAAGUAUGAGGGCUCCGCCUGUCAGUACUCGAGAGACUAUGUACGAACCUUGCCAAUUUGGUGAAAAUUUACCCUUUGCCUCGUCUUGAUUUGGAAAAAUCCGCUUCAAAACCAGUUGCCCAGGUGAGAAAUGUCUGGGUUUAACCUUCUUGUUGAAAUCUCUUGCCAUUCUAUUCUGAUAGAGCUGACCAUGUCAAAUGGCGUUAAUUCAUCUUCCAUCUAUUAAUGCCAAAUUCUCUGCCCGACCUUGUAUCCAAUCAGCAUCACUCAACUUUGCUUCUUGGAUGAUCCUUAGGGAAGGUAUCUCAACUUCGGCGGGUAUCACAGCUUCAGUGCCGUAUACUAAGAAGUAAGGUGUGGCCCCUGUGGAAGUUCUGAUUGUGGUACGAUACCCCAGCAAUGCGAAAGGUAGCUUUUCCUGCCAGUGUUUGUGAUUAUCGAUCAUCUUGCGCAAUAUCCUUUUGAUGUUUUUGUUUGCCGCCUCAACAACCCCAUUCAUCUGUGGCCUAUAUGCUGUAGAGUUUCGAUGACUGAUCUUGAACUUCUCACACAUUAAUCUCAUCAGGUCACUAUUUAGGUUGGUGCCGUUGUCGGUGAUGAUUGACUCAGGAAUUCCAAACCUACAAAUAAUGUUGUUUUUGACAAAGUCAUCCACAACUUUCUUUGUCACUGAUUUAUGGGAGGUGGCCUCAACCCACUUGGUGAAAUAGUCAAUUGCGACAAGAAUGAAUCUGUGCCCGUUGGAUGCUGUUGGCUCGAUUGGACCAAUGACAUCCAUACCCCAUGCUGCGAACGGCCAAGGUGAACUAGUGACAUGGAGUUCGUUGGGAGGUACUCGAAUCAUAUCUGCAUGAGUCUGACAUUGAUGGCAUUUCUGGACGUAGCGAAUGCAGUCUGUCUCCAUAGUUAGCCAAUAAUAUCCUGAUUUCAGAAUCUUCUUUGCUAAUGUAAAACCAUUCAUGUGAGGGCCACAGGUGCCUGCAUGUAUCUCUUCGACCAGCCUGCGAGCCUCUCUUGCUUCGACGCAUCUUAGCAGUCCCAAAUCGGGAGUUCUCCUAUAGAGGAUUUCCCCACUUAAGAAGAAUUGGGUUGUUAACCUUCGAAUUGUACGCUUUUGUAGACUUGUUGCAUCUUUUGUGUAUUCACCACUCUUCAAAUAUCUUCUAAUGUCAUCGUACUAGGGCUUUCCAUCAGGCUCUUCCUCAACAUGGAAACAAUAAGCUGGUUGUUCAUGUAUACAAAUGUGAAUAGGAUCGAUGUAAUUGUGAUCACGGUUUCGAAUCAUAGAAGACAGAGUGGCUAAGGCAUCUGCAAAUUCAUUUUGGACCCUUGGUACAUGUCUAAAUUCUGUUUUGACAAACCUUUUACAUAGCCUGUGCACGCACUCCAAAUAUGGUAACAACUUUCGAUUUUUUGUUGCCCAAUCACCUCGAAUCUGAUGGAUCAAUAGGUCUGAAUCCCCUAUUAUUAGCAUUUCCUGGACAUCCAAGUCGAUCGCCCGUCGGAGACCUAGUAUGCAGGCUUCGUAUUCGGCCAUAUUAUUUGAGCAAAGGAAUCUGAGUUUUGCUGAUACUGGAUAAUGUUGCCCGGUGGGUGAGAUCAAAACAGCCCCGAUGCCGCAUCCAUUCAGAUUUUUAGCUCCAUCAAAGAACAUUCUCCAUCCAUCAUAUUCUUCAGAAAUGUCCUCUCCCACAAAAGCCACCUCUUCAUCUGGGAAGUAGGUCUUCAGCGGUCUGUAAUCAUUGUCCACGGGAUUCUCUGCCAUAUGGUCUGCUAAUGCCUGUGCUUUCACUGCUUUUUGCGUGACAUACACUAUGUCAAACUCGCUCAACAGUAUCUGCCAUUUUGCCAGUUUACCUGUGGGCAUAGGCUUUUGAAAGAUAUACUUCAAAGGAUCCAUCCUUGAAAUCAGAUAAGUAGUAUGCGAUGAGAGGUAAUGUCGUAACUUUUGGGCAACCCAUGUUAGAGCACAACAGGUACGCUCUAAUAGAGAGUAUCGGGCUUCGCACGAUGUGAACUUCUUGCUCAUAUAGUAAUUUCUUGCUCCUUCCUCCCUGUUUCAUCGUGUUGUCCCAAGAUGCAACUGAAAGCAUUAUCCAAUACUGAAAUAUACAAAAGUAAUGGUCUACCUGACUCUGGUGGCACCAAUACAGGAGGAUUGGAUAGAUAGUCUUUGAUCUUGUCAAAUGCCUGUUGACAUUCACUUGUCCAUUUCACUGCAGCAUCCUUUUUUAACAGCUUGAAGAUAGGUUCACAGAUGACAGUAGACUGAGCAAUGAAACGACUGAUGUAGUUAAGUCACCCUAAGAAACUCAUUACCUCCUUCUUGCUCUUUGGUGGGGGAAGAUCAUGAAUGGCUUUGAUCUUUGACGGAUCCAAUUCUAUACCUCGACGACUGACAAUGAAACCUAAAAGCUUUCCAGCGGGCACACCAAAGACACAUUUUGCCGGAUUCAGUUUCAGAUUGUACUUGCGUAGCCUGGCAAAGAAUUUCCGUAAAUCCUCCAAAUGAUUUAAACAUUCCUUUGAUUUGAUGAUGACAUCAUCCACAUAAACUUCAAUUUCCUUAUGGAUCAUGUCAUGAAACAGAGUAGUCAUCGCUCUCAUGUACGUAGCCCUAACGUUCUUUAAUCCAAAAGGCAUCACUUUGUCGUUAUAGACGCCCCACGGCGUGAUGAAGGCGGUUUUCUCAGCGUCGUCUUUGUGCAUCUCAAUUUGAUGAUAGCCGGCAAAGCAAUCUACUAAUGAUUGAGUUUCAUGCUUAGCACAAUUGUCAAUCAGUAUGUGUAUGUUUGGUAAUGGAAAGUUAUCUUUAGGGCUAGCUUUAUUGAGAUCUCGGUAAUCCACGCAAACUCUGACCUUGCCGUCUUUCUUGGGCACUGGAACGACAUUUGCAAGCCAAGUUGGGUAUUCUGUCACUUGGAGUAUCCCAGCAUCUAAUUGCUUUGAUACUUCUUCUUUGAUUUUCAAACUCAUCUCGGGCUUGUAUUUUCUCAGCUUCUGUUUUACCGGAGGACAUGCUGGAUCAGUGGGCAGUCGAUGGGCUACGAUUGAAGUACUUAGCCCUGUCAUGUCUGCGUAGGACCACGCAAAAAUAUCCUUAUUCUCUAUGAGAAACUCGGUGUACUCUUUCUUGUCUUCUUUUGUCAUAUGGAUGCUUACUCGGGUUUCUUGUAUCACCUCUACAUUUCCCAAAUUCACCACUUCUGUCUCUACCAAAUUUGGAUUAGGUUUUUCCUCAAAUUCCUCAACCCUUUUGAUUAACUCCUCGGGAACCUCAUUGUCUUUGACUUCUUCUAAGUCAUUAAUGUUAAGUUGAGCAGUCUCAUUGUAUGCCACAGUCUCAGAUUUGACAUUUUUAUAAUGAAUUUUGCUGGCGAGAAGAAAAAAAAUAGCAAAAAAUUAAAUACAAGACAAAAAAAUGGGGAAAAGAACUUUAUUGAUAAAGAUUUGAAAAUUUCAUAAGUCCUCAUUCGAAAGCAAUACAGGGGACGGGAAUUAAAACGUUUAUUAAAAACUCUUUUAUUUGAAUUAAAACUUGAUAGAAAAACAUCUUCCAAGGCUACCCAGAUGCUCGACGAGGUCUGGAUGGAGUCGAGGUCAAGUUGCUGACGCUGAUCUUUGCCUCCUUGCUUCCACUAGGGCCCCCUUUCUCCUCCUCGUUGAUCACGACGUUGCAAACUUUCCCCUCUUCUUUGGUUAGCGAUAACCCCUUCAAGUCGUCUGAGAUCUCAUCAAUACUGCCUCCCAUGAAACCUAAUGAUCGAAAUGAUUGAUACAAUGGCGGUAUGGGUUUCUUCAAUGGAUAGUAGUACCCAUUUCUAGGUGGUCGCCAAUCGAGCCAUUCUUCGGUGGUGUACUUAUACCCCAAACCAAAAGUGGUGGAAUGUCGAAGAGGCUGUAUAGGUUCGACUAUCCCUUGUAAUUCAGCCCCCAAACCUUUCCCAAGCUCGAAACCGAACCAGGCCAUCAUAUCUAUGAUUUUUUGGCUGAACCAAGGUUGCAACUCAAUAUUACCAACAAGCUCCACUGUAUGGUACAUUUCUCCAUCCAUAUUCUCUCUUCCUUAAUUGUGUAUACAAGAUGCCCCUUUUCCCCAUGGACUACAACCUCUUCGUAAUCCCAUUCAAACUUCAGGCAUUGGUGCAGAGUAGAUGGAACCGCUCCAGCCAUAUGAAUCCAUGGACGACCCAACAAUAAGUUGUACGAUGAAGGGAUGUCCGAAAUUUGGAAAGCUAUGGGGAAAGUGACAGGACCAAUGAGCAUGUCCAAGGUUAUCUCCCCAAUAGUGCCUCUCUGAGAGCCGUCAAAUGCCCUCACAUUCAUCUUCCAUGUCUGAAUUUUUGCACUAUCCACACCCAGCCUUGUCAGUGUGCUCAGAGGGCAAAUGUUUAAACCUGAACCUGCAUCAACUAAUGCUUUGUUUAUCACCUUAUCUUGAUACUUAACCGAAAUGUACAAAGCUUUAUUGUGAGUUGUUCCUUCGAUUGGCAGCUCAUCUUUGUGAAAAGAUAUUUUGUAAGCCUCAAAGACAUGCCCCACCAUUUGGGAUACCUCUCCAUGAGUGAUGUUAGAUGGGACAUAAGCUUCACCAAGGAUCUUCAGAAAGGCAUCUCGAUGAGUUUCGAAAGAUUGCAGUAACUCUUGAAUUGAUAUUUGGGAAGGGGUUUUACUCAGCUGCUCAAUGACAGAGUAUUCUUUAGCUUUAACCUUUUUCCAAAUACUUUGAUCCUCAAGCUCUACAACUGGUGCUUUAGAUUUGCUAGAGCUUCCCUGAACCAAAUUUUUAGAAGUGUAAAUUCUUCCAGAUCUGGUGACCCCUGUUGCAACAUCUGUCUCUUCCACAUUUGUUUCUCUUUUGUUGUAAUCCCAAGGUACAUCAUGUGUGUCGCAUUGUAUUGGGGAGGAUGCCUUAUAGACAGCGAAUGGUGGUCUGGGUGCAGCAACUUCUACUUCAAAUGGGGCGAGUCCUUGCACUAUUAGUGGUGCUUGGGAAGUGGUAGACAUGGCUUCUCCUGUUUCGACGGCCCAGAUAGAUACUUCCCAAUCCCAGACAUAACCAGCUUCCACCAUUUUGACUUGAUGGUUAGGGAGAGGAUUAUUCGAGACAUUCGGUGUAGGAUUCUUCAGUUGGAUGGUUUCUGUAUCAAUCAACAUUUGAACCUUAGCCUUAAAGGCCCUGCAAACUUCGGUGGUGUGUACCUUCAUCCUAGAAUGGUAGGCGCAGACCUUGUUAGGGUCGUACCAUUUCGCGCGAACAUCCACAGGUAAUGCUGAAAUUGGAGAGACAUACCCAGCCUGUUUCAGUCUCUCAUAAAGUUGUGCUAUGGGUUCAGCCAAAGGGGUAUAGGUUUUUGUAGGUCUUCUUUCAUAGGAAGGUCUGUUUCGGUAAUUUGGUGUUUGAGUGGGUGGUGGAGUUUGGAAGUGUGUUGGUUGAACAUUAUAGACAGGAUAUAAGGCAUGCAAGUAUUGAGGAGGAGCGUUUUGGUAAUAUAUUGGCAUGGGUUGGGGAGAUAUAGCGGGUGGAGCUGAAGGAUGUUGAGGGUAUGGGGAUGGUGGUAGGUUCAUUGUCUUGUGCCUCAAAGGGGUCCUAAUUCCACGAGCCAUCAUUACAGAACCUAUUUUCUUUGGACUCUCUGUCAUUCCACCAGAUUGCAGAGCCUUGUUGGUUGCUUGUAAAGCCUCCAAGUUGAUGAUGGUCCCAUUCUUUAUGCCUUCUUCAAUUCUUUCGCCUAGUUUGAUGAUUUCAGCGAAACUCUUUUCAGCCACCAGCAUCAUUCGGUCAUAGUAUUGUGGUUCUUGGGCACAGAUGAAAUAGUCUUUCAUUUGAGAUUCUUCCAUAGGGGGUCUGGCCCUAGCCGCCUCAGACCUCCAUCUUAUGGCAUAUUCUCUGAAGGAUUCACUCGGUUUCUUCUUUAGGUUCUGAAUGUAAGACCAAUCAGGCGCAUUUUCAAUAUUGAAACCAAACCUAUUCAUGAAGUCAGUUGCCAUAUCAACCCAUUUUAUCCAUUUCUGCGAGUCUUGCUCAAUGUACCAUGAUAGGGCUUCCCCAGUAAGACUCCUCAUGAACAACUUCAUGAGUAUCCUCUCAUCUCUCCCCACCCCUACAAGUUUGUCACAAUACAUUCGUAGGUGGGCUUUGGGAUCUCCAAUGCCAUUGAACGUCUCAAACUUUGGAAGCUUGUAUCCUUCGGGCAGUUCCACAUCAGGAUGCAUGCACAGAUCCUCAUAGCCCAAUCCUCCCAACAUCUUGUUUCCUUCCACGUGUUGUACCCUAUUGGUCAAGUUGUCUAAUCUCUCUGUCAGGGUUUUUAUUAGGAUGUCUUUCUAAUGGGACUCUGAUUCAUGGAGGUCAUGAGUCAGAGGGGCAGUUUCAACGUAUAUGGGAUUGGGAUUGUUGUUCCCAAAAGUAUAUGGGAUAUUUGUGUUUGCGGUUGUUUCUGGGAAGGUUGGUUUGGUAUGUUGGUAAUAGUGGUGAAAUGGAACUUGGGUAUUUUGGGCGUGGGGUGGUGGAAAGGUAUUUAGACGAAUGGGUUCAGAUGGGGAUAUAUGGAUUGGAGGAUUGUUUGGCGUGGCUGUUUGGUUAGGAGGAUUGUCUAUGUUUUCUCCAAAUUGUGUUCCAAGAGAGAUAGACAACUUGGCCAAAUCACGCAUGCGAGCUACCUCUUCUUCCAAUUGGGAAAUCUUACGCUCAAGUCUUAGGACAAGAUCAUUUUGAAGUUGUCCUCCCUCAGAAGCUUCUACCCUUUCAGUGGUGCUGUUGUCGUCAACCAUUUUACCUUUGUCUUUGGAGCUUGCUCUUUGAGAAGAAGGAGAAGGGGGGUCCCUUUUGAUCGUGUAUGUGCCAGGAUGAAGGGCAGAUCAACCUUAGGAAAUGGGAAAACAAUAGAAUCAAAAGAAAAGAGUUAGGGGGUUAAGAUAAUAUCACAAUAUCAACACGUUGUUUUGAAAUAAACGCCCUAAAUGCAUGGAACCUCGUUGAGCCAUAGGUAGGCCUAAGCGACACAUAAGUGAUGCAUAAUAAUUAAUUCAAGCCUUAUUUGCCCAUUUGGAGUUUAGAGUUAGACAAUAAGACAACUUUCGAUUAUUGAAAUAAUUUUUAUUUAUCACAUCAAUCUAAAGAUAACUAAAAGGCUAGGGAUAACAUGUGGGAAAUAAGAAAAAAAAUAAAAAAACUUUAAUUAUGCUGCUCUCCAAUGUUAGGCACAAUCUGCUUCCUCAUUUCUGGGGUUAUGUCAUAAUCGGUGUUGAAAAGGUUGCGAGCCCAUCUUCUCUCUUUUUCUUCGCCAAAACCAGGACGACAUCCUUCACUCAAAUCUCUAUGCUCUGCAUCCUCUAAAAGCCAUACAUAAUAUUCAGGUGUGCAGAAGGGUCGGUGCUCUGGAACAUCGAUAGUUAUCACAUUCUUCCAUCUUCGCAGUAUAGUGUUCACUAGCGGUAAUUCUUACCCAAAGUCAUAUCCAUAGUGGCUCAUGUGGGAUCGCAGAGGUAUCAUUUGGAUCUGUCCGAAUUGUCGAAGGACUCGAAGUGGUGCGUAUGGUUGCACACCAUUCAAAGCGAUAAACUCAAUGAAGUAAAGUUCAUUUCCUCUUAUGAUGGCACGUCGUGGCUUCAACCAAUAAUACUUCCAUUGGAUUUCAACGGCUGAGCGCUCCUUUAGGUAUGUGAACCAGUCCUCUGUUCCCACAGGGGAGAUAAAAUGUUUCAUCCUUAGGGGAUGGUUGAUAAAUUUGUUCCCCAUAGUCCCUCUAACAAUGUCUACUUUAUUAGCUCUUUGGUAGAAAUGUUCAACGGCCAAAAGUUGCAGCAGAAAGUUGCACCCCUCAAAGUAUCUUUUGCCUUUGGUGCAUGCAGUCAAAGCUCUUAGAAUUUCUGCAAGUAUCAUGGGGACCAAGGUUUUCCCACCUAGAGCCAACAUACGAACCACAUAACAUAAGCCGGUGUGGAUCUUUCCUCCUUCUCUAGGAAAAACCAAUGAGCCUAAUAGGGCGACAGCGAAUGCAUUAAGACGAUACCUUUCCCAUUUUGCAGAAGAACAAGCAAAUUCUCUAUGAAAGUUUUGAUGACCUUCCUCAUCCCCAAAGCGUGAAUAUAAGAACUCUAAAGAAAUCCAACCUUCUUUCAGACAAAGUAGAUUUGGAUUAUGACACAUGCCCAUUUGCUUCAGAAAAGAUCUUGGACUUGGCUUGUGUGGAACAAUCAUUUCCAACUCUUUGUAUGCGAGACCCAUGAAUCCUCCAACUUCUUCGAUUGUUGGGGUUAACUCGAAAUCCUUGAAUUUGAAGACUAACCUCUCAGUGUCCCAGAAUUUCAACAAUGCCUUGAUUAAGUGACGAUCUGACUCUACGGAGAUCAAAGCUGUGAGGCCGCCUAACAGUUCAUUUGCUUCUAACUCUCGAUUUUUUGAAUAUCUUUCCACCAAUUCUUCAAUAUGGGAUUGACUUUGACGACCAUUUGCGUGUUGGGAAAGUGAGGGUGAGCCAUGACUCUGCAAACAAAGUAACAAACGACUUCUAAACUCCAUUUUGACAAUGUUGGCUUGAUUUAAUUAUUGUGAUCACGUUGACACAUAAAUAUGCAAUUUGUCUAAGGGUGUUGGGGCCCUUUAGACGAGAGGGUGGCUACUAAUUACAUGGAUUGACACCAAGGGUCAAACCUCCUAGGGCUUAUGCAGCAUGUAUGACUUAAUCAGGACUUCUAAGAGUUGGCUUGACACGGACUUGAAAGGAUUCUAUGUGAGAGGCUCGUGGCUUCGCGGUAGUAAAACUAUCCACUACGUCCACGCAUAUGCCGACUCUCUAUAAUGGGUAUUUGUAUAAGAUUGGAGUAGUUGUGAGAGGUGCUAAGGCACAAAAUCACGAGAACAAAAUAAAAAAAGAGGAAGAGGGUACCAAUUGGGGAAAGUAUGAGCGAGAUGCCAAUUAUCAAAGCAGUAAACAUUUAGCAUUUAAAUUGGAAACAAUAAAUAAAUAAGAAUAAAUAAAGGAAAGUAAACAUAUAAAGAUAUGAAAACUACGCAAAUAAAGAAAGAUGAUACGAGACUAAACAUGUAAACAAAUAAGGGGAAAGGGAAGAGGUGACACAUGAUAAUAAACAAUUAAGGAAAAGGGAAAGGGAGGAACAUGUAGAGGAGACAAUAAAUAAGGCAACAAAAUAAGCUAAACAUGGUAAGCACCUAACAAAUAAUGAAAUGAAUAAAAUAAACCCCACAUAAAUAAGUAAUUAACACGUAAUGGUAAGAACCUAAUAUCCCCAGCGGAGUAGCCAUUUUGUCGCGCCCCAUUUUCGCAGAAAACGGGUUUUGUGCACGACCUAACAACUCUUUUGGGAUUUUGAGUUUGGAGUCGCCACCUAACGAAUUAAGGCGCGUUAGGGCACCUAUCUAACCUAACUAAGUCUAACUAAGGUCAACGAGCCAGACAAUUAGGGUAAGGGUUCAAAUUACCUCGAGGGGAAGGUGUUAGGCAUCCCUCGAGGUCCACAAGUGUGGGUCUCGGCCGUAUCUCAUGCAAUCUAUGUGGGGGUUACAAGUAGCAAUCAAGGUCACUUCAUUAUUAUUCAUUAAUAUGCUUGCUAAGUGAUAACAAGUAUAAAACAAUUAAGGCUAUUUUAUUAAAUUAAACAUGCGAGACUAGAAGACACCAAUAAUAAACAACCAAGUUUAUUUAUAUUUUUUUUAUUUAUUUAACAUACGAGGCUAUGUUAUAGACAAAAUUGGCAAAUAUUAAGAAAUUAAUAUGUGCAAAAGUAAAGUUUUGAAAAUUGAGUAAGUUUUGAAUAUGAAUUUUUAUUUUUGAAAAAAAUGUUUGUUUCUUUAUAGGGAUGAUGCCACGAUAUUGUUGAUCGCGCUCCUCAACCAUAGAAACAAUUUUGAUUUGAGGUCGGUCUAAAAAAUAGUUUAUGUUUUUGAAAAACUGAUUUAAAAGAUUUAGUUCACACGUAGGCACAUAAACAUUUACACAUAAAUGCACAUAAUUCUUUUUGAAAUUCAUGGGUAGGUGGUACUUCCGAGGAUGUGUCGGGUUUAAAAAUUUGAACUAGACCUCAUAAUUCCUUUGACUUUCCCACUAACGAUAGGUUAGGAUAUAGUACUUAUAAUUUACUUUCAAAAUAAACAAUGUCAAAAUCAAUCCAAAGUUUAAAAGGAAGAUUGAAUAAUGACUUUUUAAGAAAAUUAUGUUACAAGGUUUUGAUAUGAAAUAUUUUUAAAGCCAAGUUAAAUGCAUGAAAUGAUUCUAAAAAAAUAUU